UACGGAGGGUGCGAGCGUUGUCCGGAAUCACUGGGCGUAAAGGGCGCGUAGGCGGUUCGUCACGUCGGGAGUGAAAACUCGGAGCUUAACUCCGAGCCUGCUUCCGAUACGGGCAGACUAGAGGUAGGCAGGGGAGAGCGGAACUCCUGGUGUAGCGGUGGAAUGCGCAGAUAUCAGGAAGAACACCGGUGGCGAAGGCGGCUCUCUGGGCCUUACCUGACGCUGAGGAGCGAAAGCGUGGGUAGCGAACAGG
Molecule: ribosomal RNA, 253 nt
Filed under: uncultured bacterium
Lineage: Bacteria
Description: partial 16S ribosomal RNA
Rfam family: Bacterial small subunit ribosomal RNA
Source: RNAcentral